RNAcentral lists this transfer RNA (85 nucleotides) under Felis catus (domestic cat). It matches the Rfam family "tRNA". Rfam says of the family: Transfer RNA (tRNA) molecules are approximately 80 nucleotides in length. Their secondary structure includes four short double-helical elements and three loops (D, anti-codon, and T loops). Lineage: Eukaryota; Metazoa; Chordata; Mammalia; Carnivora; Felidae. The record is from Rfam by way of RNAcentral.
ACCUGGGUGGCUCAGUCAGUUGAGCGUCUGACUUCGGUUCAGGUCACGAUCUCACCCUUCGUGGGUUCGAGCCCCACCUCGGACU